AAGCUAUGAUGUGGGCAUUUAAGAAGCAAAUCAUGAAAACGCUCCCAAGUUUGAUGGAAUUGUUCUUCAUUUUUCCCUUUGAAAGUGCUUAUGGCAUUUCUCAUUAA
Cornus florida is the source of this 107-nucleotide small nucleolar RNA. Lineage: Eukaryota; Viridiplantae; Streptophyta; Magnoliopsida; Cornales; Cornaceae. The record is from RefSeq and is a predicted model, not a curated record.